This 496-nucleotide ribosomal RNA is filed under the name uncultured bacterium. RNAcentral's name for it is "bacterial SSU rRNA". It matches the Rfam family "Bacterial small subunit ribosomal RNA", at positions 791 to 1283 of the family's 1533-position model. The record is from RNAcentral.
UAGUCCACGCAGUAAACGAUGAGUGCUAGACGUUGGGAACUUUAUGUUUUCAGUCUCGCAGUUAACACAUUAAGCACUCCGCCUGGAGAUUACGGUCGCAAGACUAAAACUCAAAGGAAUUGACGGGGGCCUGCACAAGCGGUGGAGCAUGCGGUUUAAUUCGAUGAUACGCGAAGAACCUUACCAACCCUUGACAUACUGAUCGCGGAAAGCAGAGAUGCAUUCCUUCAGUUCGGCUGGAUCAGAUACAGGUGUUGCACGGCUGUCGUCAGCUCGUGUCGUGAGAUGUUGGGUUAAGUCCCGCAACGAGCGCAACCCCCGCCUUUAUUGCCAUCAAGUCAUGUUGGGAACUAUAAAGGGACUGCCAGUGUAAACUGGAGGAAGGUGGGGAUGAUGUCAAGUCAUCAUGGCCCUUAUACCCAGGGCUACACACGUCCUACAAUGGCUGGUACAAUGCGUUUGCUAUACCGCGAGGUGGCGCUAAUCGCAAAAAACC